AAUGUAAACAAAACAGAGGAGGAGACGAGAAAGAGGAAGAUGAUUGUCAGACACGCAUCGAGAAUCUGUAAAAAAUGUGUGCACAGAGCAGAAGAAUAUGUCGAGAGUCUCAACUUCAGCAAAUCCAGUGAAACAACAAAUCACUCUUUUGGACAACAUUGAAGCUCUUUGACACGGAGGGAUGAACUUCAGCAUAUCAGGCUUUUGAUGCACAGACAAUACUUGUGGCCAAGGUGUUGUGCCCAGAAGUCAUGCUUGGGCCCGUACAGAAUGAGAGUCCACUAUCUCCGUCCAGUUCUUCUCCAGCGUCGUUCCCAGACAUUCCUCCUUCCACCUCCACCUCAGACUGACUGGCACAGCAUAACUCCCCAGAUCCUGCUUCAACACAUCCAGCUGACCACGUUCCUGAGCAUCGGGGAAAAAGCAGACAGGACAAACAGAGGAAUGCAAAUGAAUAGGAAGGCAAGAGAAACAGAAGUCAGGGCGAAAAAAGAGAAGAAAAUCUGAGUCAUUGAUUCCUUUGAAAAGGUCAUUAACCAUUCAUGUGAA
Molecule: long non-coding RNA, 549 nt
Organism: Acanthopagrus latus (yellowfin seabream)
Lineage: Eukaryota; Metazoa; Chordata; Actinopteri; Spariformes; Sparidae
Exons: 3
Source: RefSeq, a predicted model, not a curated record